RNAcentral lists this ribosomal RNA (490 nucleotides) under uncultured bacterium. RNAcentral's name for it is "bacterial SSU rRNA". It matches the Rfam family "Bacterial small subunit ribosomal RNA", at positions 314 to 796 of the family's 1533-position model. The record is from RNAcentral.
UGGGACUGAGACACGGCCCAAACUCCUACGGGAGGCAGCAGUGGGGAAUCUUCCGCAAUGGACGAAAGUCUGACGGAGCAACGCCGCGUGUAUGAUGAAGGUCUUCGGAUUGUAAAGUACUGUCUUUGGGGAAGAAUGAUUGGUUUGAAAAUAUUGAGCCAAUAUGACGGUACCCAAGGAGGAAGCCCCGGCUAACUACGUGCCAGCAGCCGCGGUAAUACGUAGGGGGCAAGCGUUGUCCGGAAUUAUUGGGCGUAAGGGCGCGUAGGCGGAUGUUUAAGUCCGGUGUGAAAGAUCAGGGCUCAACCCUGAGAGUGCAUCGGAAACUGGGCGUCUUGAGGACAGGAGAGGAAAGUGGAAUUCCACGUGUAGCGGUGAAAUGCGUAGAUAUGUGGAGGAACACCAGUGGCGAAGGCGACUUUCUGGACUGUAACUGACGCUGAUGCACGAAAGCUAGGGGAGCAAACAGGAUUAGAUACCCUGGUAGUCC